Erinaceus europaeus (western European hedgehog) is the source of this 333-nucleotide long non-coding RNA. RefSeq lists it as uncharacterized. The record is from RefSeq and is a predicted model, not a curated record. The transcript has 2 exons. NCBI's taxonomy places the organism in Eukaryota, Metazoa, Chordata, Mammalia, Eulipotyphla, Erinaceidae.
CUCGUUGAGAGCACAAGGACUCAAGUUCAACCCCCAGGUCCCCACCUGCAGGGGGAAGCUACAGGAGUAGUGGAACAGUGCUGCAGGUGUCUUUCUUGCUCCUCCCUCUCCAUCUCCCCCACUAGCUCAAUUUUUCUUUGUCUUAUCAAAUAAAAGAAAGGGGAAGAUGUCAGCUGGGAGCAGUGGAGCAAUAAUCCUGGUGGCAAAUAAUGUAAUAAUAAAUAAAACAUAAGCUAGUAUUUAACAAUGUACAGUAUCACCCCAAGUUUGCCCUCCUGCAUUUUAAUCUAAUGAAACAAGUCAGAACUAAAAGUCCUUUUCCCCAAUCUUUUU